UCAAAAUGUGUCAUGGCGGCUUCCUGUCAAUUGGAUGUGAGCAUGGACGUGAGCGUAACCACGACCUACUGUACAGCAGGUCGUGAGCGUAACAUGGGAGCUUCAAUGGUACAUCUAAGCUUUCUUGGUUAUCCCAAGCUGUUCCUUAUCCUUCCGCGUAAUAACUCUUUCUUGUACCCAAUAGAAUACCGAAUAGAGAUCGUAUAGAAGCUCAGAGGCUGCACCUGUCAUUCACAUAGACAGCUCUUGCACAGUGGGUGCCCUCAAAUGUACUGCAGAGUUUGCUGUGUUGCUGUUUAGUUGAGCAUCAACUGAUAGCCUCGACAAUAUGACAAGCAACACAUCUGCCAUUUCAGGUCUGUCUUAGGAAUGGCACGCCCCAGAAAGCUCGCCUUCGUGCAUAGCGUUUGCCACCAGCAUUUCCAGGAAAACAUUACAGAAGCAUAAGCUGCAGCUGCCCGGAAGCGUGAGAAGCAGCCAGGGAUCUUUUAAUGCUAUCGUGUUCCACUCUUAAAGGCGCAGCUUAAGUGUCCUCCAACCUUUUUUUUUUUUUCGCUGUUUGGGGACUGCCUUCUUGAAGGUGUUGCUUCGUUUCCUUUCUGCUGUAGGGCGAAUGUAAUAUCUGCUUUGAACAACGGCAAAGCCACAUUUUGAUUGCACUUGAUCCUGGCUGCACUAGCGCAGCAUCUCUCCUGAACACUAUCCAACAGUUCACUAUGAUGUUAUCACUGAAAUAGAAUACACAAGACACCUUCGUGUACCACUUCAUCUACCUCGAAGUAAUAUGCCAUAGCUUUAUGAUCAUAUCCUUAACAUCCACUACUUUCUUGGAUUCAUUUCAGAUAGCCGGAAUGUACAGACUAAAAAAGCUCGGAAGCGCUUGCGCUCUUUGGAGAAUUUUGUAUGAGCAUUUUCAGGCUGUUCUGGUGACACUAAAAAAUACUGGCUCUCCUGUAAUCGAGAGUGGAUGUAAGCAUGAAAUGGCUGCCAACAAAGCAGAUUAAUUGUAGAUGACACUAGCCACAAUCUUAAAAUGGGUGUAGCGUACAUUCGAAACGGCACACCCCACCCCACCGCACCACGCAACUGUACACUGGUCCAUAUGGAAGCAAGUUUCCUGUCAAAGACAGAACCCCAUUGCAAGUCUCGUCUCGGUCCACCAGAUGCGCCGUGGACCUCGCGGACUGCUGGCAUUGAAAAGAGCACAAGCAACUGUGUCUCAGUGCCAAAAAAUGACAACCAAGUGUACAGUGCCUUGUAUCUGCCUCUGAACGUCGCUAUUAGAAGUGACAAAUAAAACUUCAGCGUACUAGAAGUUACAGCUUGAGUGAUAUUGUGAGAAAAUAUUUAGAACUCAGAAGCAAUAUUUUUUGUAACAUGUUUGGGAAGUAACUAGCAUAUGUAUUGCAGUCUUGACUGUUUGCCCGGAUGAGCUGGUUUGAGUGACAGGAUAAUGACUGGCUUUUGGUUCAUUGAAGGUGGCUGACAACAGGAGCUGAAAGCAUUUCAUGCUUAAAAUGUCUGCAGCAGCGGCACUGUUUGAUUAGUCAAGGACCCCAUUUCAUGGCCCUCAUCGAACACUGUUUCUGCCUUUGUAACGCUUCCUAGAAUUUAUCCUUCAAAUUCUUAUGUGAAAGAACCAUGCAUCAAUUUUGGCGUAUUUCUCAAACUGUACGAGCAGAAUUGCUGCUGAUUUCAUAAAUACAACCUAUAAAUCAAUACAGCAGAAUUGUUAGUUUAAAUAUGUAAUCCAAA
This is a non-coding RNA of Dermacentor andersoni, 1755 nucleotides long. Lineage: Eukaryota; Metazoa; Arthropoda; Arachnida; Ixodida; Ixodidae. The record is from RefSeq and is a predicted model, not a curated record.